RNAcentral lists this ribosomal RNA (497 nucleotides) under uncultured bacterium. RNAcentral's name for it is "partial 16S ribosomal RNA". It matches the Rfam family "Bacterial small subunit ribosomal RNA", at positions 28 to 507 of the family's 1533-position model. The record is from RNAcentral.
GAUGAACGCUGGCGGCGUGCCUAAUACAUGCAAGUCGAGCGAACAGACGAGGAGCUUGCUCCUCUGACGUUAGCGGCGGACGGGUGAGUAACACGUGGAUAACCUACCUAUGAGACUGGGAUAACUUCGGGAAACCGGAGCUAAUACCGGAUAAUAUAUUGAACCGCAUGGUUCAAUAGUGAAAGACGGUUUUGCUGUCACUUAUAGAUGGAUCCGCGCCGCAUUAGCUAGUUGGUAAGGUAACGGCUUACCAAGGCAACGAUGCGUAGCCGACCUGAGAGGGUGAUCGGCCACACUGGAACUGAGACACGGUCCAGACUCCUACGGGGGGCAGCAGUAGGGAAUCUUCCGCAAUGGGCGAAAGCUUGACGGAGCAACGCCGCGUGAGUGAUGAAGGUCUUCGGAUCGUAAAACUCUGUUAUUAGGGAAGAACAAAUGUGUAAGUAACUAUGCACGUCUUGACGGUACCUAAUCAGAAAGCCACGGCUAACUACGUG